AUUGAACGCUGGCGGCAGGCUUAACACAUGCAAGUCGAGCGGGGUGAUGGUGCUUGCACUAUCACUUAGCGGCGGACGGGUGAGUAAUGCUUAGGAAUCUGCCUAUUAGUGGGGGACAACAUCUCGAAAGGGAUGCUAAUACCGCAUACGUCCUACGGGAGAAAGCAGAGGAUCACUUGUGACCUUGCGCUAAUAGAUGAGCCUAAGUCGGAUUAGCUAGUUGGUGGGGUGAAGGCCUACCAAGGCGACGAUCUGUAGCGGGUCUGAGAGGAUGAGCCGCCACACUGGGACUGAGGCACGGCCCAGACUCCUACGGGAGGCAGCAGUGGGGAAGAUUGGACAAUGGGGGGAACCCUGAUCCAGCCAUGCCGCGUGUGUGAAGAAGGCCUUAUGGUUGUAAAGCACUUUAAGCGAGGAGGAGGCUCUUUUGGUUAAUACCCAAGAUGAGUGGACGUUACUCGCAGAAUAAGCACCGGCUAACUCUGUGACAGCCGCCGCCGUAA
Molecule: ribosomal RNA, 503 nt
Filed under: uncultured bacterium
Lineage: Bacteria
Description: partial 16S ribosomal RNA
Rfam family: Bacterial small subunit ribosomal RNA
Source: RNAcentral